AGUGAACGCUGGCGGUAGGCCUAACACAUGCAAGUCGAACGGCAGCACAGGAGAGCUUGCUCUCUGGGUGGCGAGUGGUGGACGGGUGAGGAAUACAUCGGAAUCUACUCUGUCGUGGGGGAUAACGUAGGGAAACUUAAGCUAAUACCGCAUACGACCUACGGGUGAAAGCAGGGGACCUUCGGGCCUUGCGCGAUUGAAUGAGCCGAUGUCGGAUUAGCUAGUUGGCGGGGUAAAGGCCCACCAAGGCGACGAUCCGUAGCUGGUCUGAGAGGAUGAUCAGCCACACUGGAACUGAGACACGGUCCAGACUCCUACGGGAGGCAGCAGUGGGGAAUAUUGGACAAUGGGCGCAAGCCUGAUCCAGCCAUACCGCGUGGGUGAAGAAGGCCUUCGGGUUGUAAAGCCCUUUUGUUGGGAAAGAAAUCCAGCUGGCUAAUACCCGGUUGGGAUGACGGUACCCAAAGAAUAAGCACCGGCUAACUUCGUGCCAGCAGCCGCCGUAA
RNAcentral lists this ribosomal RNA (506 nucleotides) under uncultured bacterium. RNAcentral's name for it is "partial 16S ribosomal RNA". It matches the Rfam family "Bacterial small subunit ribosomal RNA", at positions 29 to 523 of the family's 1533-position model. The record is from RNAcentral.